GACCACGUAGCUCAGUUGGCAGAGCAUUGGGGUGGUAUUCCAAAGGUCGUAGGUUCGAUUCCCACCGUGGCCA
Molecule: transfer RNA, 73 nt
Filed under: Paramuricea clavata
Lineage: Eukaryota; Metazoa; Cnidaria; Anthozoa; Malacalcyonacea; Plexauridae
Rfam family: tRNA
About the family: Transfer RNA (tRNA) molecules are approximately 80 nucleotides in length. Their secondary structure includes four short double-helical elements and three loops (D, anti-codon, and T loops).
Source: Rfam by way of RNAcentral